Molecule: non-coding RNA, 368 nt
Organism: Bacteriovorax sp. BAL6_X
Lineage: Bacteria; Pseudomonadati; Bdellovibrionota; Bacteriovoracia; Bacteriovoracales; Bacteriovoracaceae
Source: Rfam
GGGGGUGCCCUGGUUUCGACGGGAUGGUUGACAGGUAUCCGGGCGUGUCCAGGUUGGUCUCCACGGUCCUGGUAAAAAGGAGUCCACCGUUAAUUGCAGACGAUUAUGCAAUGCCAAUGGCUGCCUAAUUAAUUAGGAUUAGUCUUGUGAGGCGCUACUGCCAAGAAACAGAAUGUAGCAAUCCAGUUGAAUCUGCUGGUUAACUAGGUUUCGAGCCUGCCGGGGCAUCUCGUUAAUCACUCACCGGGGUUCGCCGAGGUCACGUAUCACGGACAGUCUUGUCUUCUGACGAUAACCGAAGACUACGCACGUAGGCCGCUAUCAAGACGUCAUUUCGGACGUGGGUUCGAUUCCCACCACCUCCACCA